UAAUUUCUGGUGGCCGCAAGAAAACCGGUCCAGGGCCUGGGCUUGGGGAUUGCUGUUCCGGCCACCAGGCUUCUGUCUCCUUUAUAAGGCCAGAAAGGCCGAAUGCCUCCUCCAAGGUGACCUGCAUGUCCCAGCUUGGACCUAGGUCCUGCCUGAGGUCAGGGUGAUGACCUGCAUGGUCCCAGCUGCCUCCAGGUUAGAAGGGGCCUCAGGCCAGCUCUGUACAUGAGAGGGGAGACUCUCUGACCACCUGUGUUCCCACCUGCUGGGCGAUACUGCUCUUCCCAUGGGGUGGCAUGAGGAAGUCCUUGGGGACUAGAGGAGCAGGACUUGCCUCAUGCCUAGUAGGUGCUAAGCACAGAGGGCUCUGAGGGUGCCCCAGGGGGCCCCUCCUGGUUUCACAAUGCCCCCACUGACCCUCAGCAUCCAGUGCUGAAAGGCUGUGGAGAGACCUGGCGUCUGUUUAAAGAUGAGGCUGGGGGGCCUGGAGUGGGCGGGCAGAGUGCCCAAGGUCCCCUGCGAGUUGGUGGUAGAGCAGGAUGAGAGGCCCAGGUCCUCACCCCUGAAUUGUCUCCUGUCCACUUUGCUCUUGACCCUGGGGUCUCCUCCGCGUUGCUCUCGUGGGUGGCAAGGUUUGCUGAGGCUCUAGUGGGGCUGCAGCUCGG
Molecule: long non-coding RNA, 665 nt
Filed under: Marmota monax (woodchuck)
Lineage: Eukaryota; Metazoa; Chordata; Mammalia; Rodentia; Sciuridae
Source: RNAcentral